UACGUAGGGUGCGAGCGUUGUCCGGAAUUAUUGGGCGUAAAGAGCUCGUAGGCGGUUUGUCGCGUCUGCUGUGAAAACUGGAGGCUCAACCUCCAGCCUGCAGUGGGUACGGGCAGACUAGAGUGCGGUAGGGGAGUGUGGAAUUCCUGGUGGAGCGGUGAAAUGCGCAGAUAUCAGGAGGAACACCCGUAGCGAAGGCGGCACUCUGGGCCGAUACUGACACUGAGGAGCGAAAGCGUUGGGGAGCGAACAGG
RNAcentral lists this ribosomal RNA (254 nucleotides) under uncultured bacterium. RNAcentral's name for it is "partial 16S ribosomal RNA". It matches the Rfam family "Bacterial small subunit ribosomal RNA", at positions 524 to 776 of the family's 1533-position model. The record is from RNAcentral.